Molecule: transfer RNA, 75 nt
Filed under: Mesorhizobium opportunistum WSM2075
Lineage: Bacteria; Pseudomonadati; Pseudomonadota; Alphaproteobacteria; Hyphomicrobiales; Phyllobacteriaceae
Description: tRNA-OTHER
Rfam family: tRNA
About the family: Transfer RNA (tRNA) molecules are approximately 80 nucleotides in length. Their secondary structure includes four short double-helical elements and three loops (D, anti-codon, and T loops). Further hydrogen bonds mediate the characteristic L-shaped molecular structure. tRNAs have two regions of fundamental functional importance: the anti-codon, which is responsible for specific mRNA codon recognition, and the 3' end, to which the tRNAs corresponding amino acid is attached (by aminoacyl-tRNA synthetases). tRNAs cope with the degeneracy of the genetic code in two manners: having more than one tRNA (with a specific anti-codon) for a particular amino acid; and 'wobble' base-pairing, i.e. permitting non-standard base-pairing at the 3rd anti-codon position.
Source: RNAcentral
GCGGGUGUAGCUCAGAGGCUAGAGCGCCGGAUUUGGGUCCGGAGGUCGAGGGUUCGAGUCCCUUCAUCCACAUCA